RNAcentral lists this ribosomal RNA (243 nucleotides) under uncultured marine eukaryote. RNAcentral's name for it is "partial 18S ribosomal RNA". It matches the Rfam family "Eukaryotic small subunit ribosomal RNA", at positions 1189 to 1455 of the family's 1831-position model. The record is from RNAcentral.
CUUAAUUUGACUCAACGCGGGGAAACUCACCAGGUCCAGACAUGCUUAGGAUUGACAGAUUGAUAGCUCUUUCUUGAUUGUAUGGGUGGUGGUGCAUGGCCGUUUUAGUUGGUGGAGUGAUUUGUCUGCUUAAUUGCGAUAACGAACGAGACCUUGACCUGCUAAAUAGCCCAAUUCACUUUGGUGGAUUGCUGGCUUCUUAGAGGGACUUUUGGCUCAAGCCAAUGGAAGUACGAGGCAAAA